RNAcentral lists this ribosomal RNA (491 nucleotides) under uncultured bacterium. RNAcentral describes it as "partial 16S ribosomal RNA". It matches the Rfam family "Bacterial small subunit ribosomal RNA", at positions 29 to 507 of the family's 1533-position model. The record is from RNAcentral.
AGUGAACGCUGGCGGUAGGCCUAACACAUGCAAGUCGAACGGCAGCACAGUAAGAGCUUGCUCUUACGGGUGCGAGUGGCGGACGGGUGAGGAAUACAUCGGAAUCUACUUUUUUGUGGGGGCUAACGUAGGGAAACUUACGCUAAUACCGCAUACGACCUACGGGUGAAAGCAGGGGAUCUUCGGACCUUGCGCGAUUGAAUGAGCCGAUGUCGGAUUAGCUAGUUGGCGGGGUAAAGGCCCACCAAGGCGACGAUCCGUAGCUGGUCUGAGAGGAUGAUCAGCCACACUGGAACUGAGACACGGUCCAGACUCCUACGGGAGGCAGCAGUGGGGAAUAUUGGACAAUGGGCGCAAGCCUGAUCCAGCCAUACCGCGUGGGUGAAGAAGGCCUUCGGGUUGUAAAGCCCUUUUGUUGGGAAAGAAAAGCAGCAGGUUAAUACCCCGCUGUUCUGACGGUACCCAAAGAAUAAGCACCGGCUAACUUCGUG